RNAcentral lists this ribosomal RNA (430 nucleotides) under uncultured archaeon. RNAcentral describes it as "bacterial SSU rRNA". It matches the Rfam family "Archaeal small subunit ribosomal RNA", at positions 53 to 489 of the family's 1478-position model. The record is from RNAcentral.
GCGAGUCAACGCCGCAAGGCGUGGCAUACGGCUCAGUAACACGUAGUCAACAUGCCCAAAGGACGUGGAUAACCUCGGGAAACUGAGGAUAAACCGCGAUAGGCCAAGGUUUCUGGAAUGAGCCAUGGCCGAAAUCUAUAUGGCCUUUGGAUUGGACUGCGGCCGAUCAGGCUGUUGGUGAGGUAAUGGCCCACCAAACCUGUAACCGGUACGGGCUUUGAGAGAAGGAGCCCGGAGAUGGGCACUGAGACAAGGGCCCAGGCCCUAUGGGGCGCAGCAGGCGCGAAACCUCUGCAAUAGGCGAAAGCUUGACAGGGUUACUCUGAGUGAUGCCCGCUAAGGGUAUCUUUUGGCACCUCUAAAAAUGGUGCAGAAUAAGGGGUGGGCAAGUCUGGUGUCAGCCGCCGCGGUAAUACCAGCACCCCGAGUU